This 190-nucleotide small nuclear RNA is filed under the name Chlamydotis macqueenii (Macqueen's bustard). RNAcentral describes it as "Chlamydotis undulata macqueenii U2 spliceosomal RNA". It matches the Rfam family "U2 spliceosomal RNA". Rfam says of the family: U2 is a small nuclear RNA (snRNA) component of the spliceosome (involved in pre-mRNA splicing). Complementary binding between U2 snRNA (in an area lying towards the 5' end but 3' to hairpin I) and the branchpoint sequence (BPS) of the intron results the bulging out of an unpaired adenosine, on the BPS, which initiates a nucleophilic attack at the intronic 5' splice site, thus starting the first of two transesterification reactions that mediate splicing. Lineage: Eukaryota; Metazoa; Chordata; Aves; Otidiformes; Otididae. The record is from Rfam by way of RNAcentral.
AGAGCUUUUCAGCCUUUUGGGGAAGGUUAAACAUAGUGUAUGCUCUUACCAGUUCUUAUGUGGUAGGUCGUUGCUGCAAGGACUUGCUGUUAAAUGACAUUUUGGAGCCAGGAGAAGCUCUGGGAGCUUGCUGCAGCCACUCCACACAUCGUUCUGGUCUUGCAGUACCUUCUGGUGUGCUGACAGCCCU